Molecule: ribosomal RNA, 803 nt
Filed under: uncultured bacterium
Lineage: Bacteria
Description: bacterial SSU rRNA
Rfam family: Bacterial small subunit ribosomal RNA
Source: RNAcentral
AGAGUUUGAUCCUGGCUCAGAACGAACGCUGGCGGCGUGCCUAACACAUGCAAGUCGAACGUGAUUGGAAGCUUGCUUCCAUGAAAGUGGCGCACGGGUGAGUAACGCGUAGAUAAUCUACCUGAUGAUCCGGGAUAACACUUCGAAAGGGGUGCUAAUACCUGAUAAGCCCACGGGGUCUUCGGACUCUGCGGGAAAAGGGGGGGACCUUCGGGCCUUCCGUCAUCAGAUGAGUCUGCGUACCAUUAGCUGGUUGGUAGGGUAACGGCCUACCAAGGCUACGAUGUCUAGGGGUUCUGAGAGGAAGGUCCCCCACACUGGUACUGAGACACGGACCAGACUCCUACGGGAGGCAGCAGUGAGGAAUAUUGGUCAAUGGGCGCGAGCCUGAACCAGCCAUCCCGCGUGCAGGAAGACGGCCCUAUGGGUUGUAAACUGCUUUUGUGCAGGUAGAAUGUGCCCAUCGUGAUGGGUAGUGACGGUACUGCAUGAAUAAGCACCGGCUAACUCCGUGCCAGCAGCCGCGGUAAUACGGAGGGUGCAAGCGUUAUCCGGAUUUAUUGGGUUUAAAGGGUGCGUAGGCGGUAAAAUAAGUCAGUGGUGAAAAGCUGCAGCUCAACUGUAGUCCUGCCAUUGAAACUGUUUUACUUGAGUAACCAUGAGGUAGGCGGAAUGUGUAGUGUAGCGGUGAAAUGCUUAGAUAUUACACAGAACACCGAUUGCGUAGGCAGCUUACUAGAGGUUCACUGACGCUGAUGCACGAAAGCGUGGGGAUCAAACAGGAUUAGAUACCCUGGUAGUCC